Non-coding RNA from Pantherophis guttatus, 375 nucleotides. Lineage: Eukaryota; Metazoa; Chordata; Lepidosauria; Squamata; Colubridae. The record is from RefSeq and is a predicted model, not a curated record.
AUCUGCCCCCCCCCCCCAUUGCACAGAUAUGGAAAGGAUUGACACUAUCCACAAUGGAGGAAUAGUUGGUGAAGUUGACAAAUUUUGGUGAAAUGGAUAAGAAAGGAAACCUUUGGCAGAACUCUUGUUAAUGUCACUGAUUUCAGAAAGAAAAAUCCAGGUGAAAGUCCUUGCUCCAUUCACAGGAUUCAUUAUAGUUUUACAAUGAGCCGCCUGGAAUCAUAGGAGGUGAUGACAUAGAAUUACAUAUGCUACAGAAUUGGAUGCGAAUUCUGCUGACUGCUGGCUUCCAGCUCAAGGUUUACUCAGCCCAGCGUUGACUCAUCCUUCCAUCCUUCCGAGGUGGGUAAAAUGAGGACCCAGAUUGUUGGGGGC